This 510-nucleotide ribosomal RNA is filed under the name uncultured bacterium. RNAcentral's name for it is "partial 16S ribosomal RNA". It matches the Rfam family "Bacterial small subunit ribosomal RNA", at positions 28 to 507 of the family's 1533-position model. The record is from RNAcentral.
GACGAACGCUGGCGGCGUGCUUAACACAUGCAAGUCGAACGAAGAGCGAUGGAAGCUUGCUUCUAUCAGUCUUAGUGGCGAACGGGUGAGUAACGCGUAAUCAACCUGCCCUUCAGAGGGGGACAACAGUUGGAAACGACUGCUAAUACCGCAUACGAUCUAAUCUCGGCAUCGAGGAGAGAUGAACGGUGGCCUCUACAUGUAAGCUAUCACUGAAGGAGGUGAUUGCGUCUGAUUAGCUAGUUGGAGGGGUAACGGCCCCCCAAGGCGAGGUUCAGUAGUCGGACUGAGUGGAUGAGCGGCCAGACUGGGACGGAGACCCGGCACAGACUCAUACGGGAAGGAGCCGGGGGGAAUCUUCCGGAAUGGACGAAAGUCUGACGGAGCAACGCCGCGGGAGUGAUGACGGCCUUCGGGUUGGAAAGCUCUGUUAAUCGGGACGAAAGGCCUUCUUGCGAAUAGUGAGAAGGAUUGACGGUACCGGAAAAGAAAGCCACGGCUAACUACGUG